Molecule: transfer RNA, 66 nt
Filed under: marine eukaryotic metagenome
Rfam family: tRNA
About the family: Transfer RNA (tRNA) molecules are approximately 80 nucleotides in length. Their secondary structure includes four short double-helical elements and three loops (D, anti-codon, and T loops).
Source: RNAcentral
CUAGUAGCUCAGCUGGCAGAGCAGCUGACUUUUAAUCAGCGGGUCGUAGGUUCGAACCCUACCUGG